RNAcentral lists this transfer RNA (73 nucleotides) under Ophiophagus hannah (king cobra). It matches the Rfam family "tRNA". Rfam says of the family: Transfer RNA (tRNA) molecules are approximately 80 nucleotides in length. Their secondary structure includes four short double-helical elements and three loops (D, anti-codon, and T loops). The record is from Rfam by way of RNAcentral. RNAcentral also lists the same sequence under 2 other names. Lineage: Eukaryota; Metazoa; Chordata; Lepidosauria; Squamata; Elapidae.
GUUUCUGUGGUGUAGUGGUUAUCACGUUUGCCUCACACGCAAAAGGUCCCUGGUUCGAAACCAGGCAGAAACA